Molecule: ribosomal RNA, 345 nt
Filed under: Triticum aestivum (bread wheat)
Lineage: Eukaryota; Viridiplantae; Streptophyta; Magnoliopsida; Poales; Poaceae
Description: partial small subunit ribosomal RNA
Source: RNAcentral
AUGGGGGAGAACCGGGCGGUGUUUCUCGGUCAGAAUAGGCUAUCGGGUAGAGUUCCAACAACAUUGUUUAAUCUAUCCAAGCUUAUAAUACUGGACUUGAGUACAAAUAAGCUAAGGGGCACAUUGCCAUACAAUAUCGGUAAUCUAUCUGUUUCGCUUCAAUGGCUACUUUUGGGUGCAAACAACUUGUCUGGGACAGUGCCACCGAGCAUUGGGGCCCUAAAGAACCUAACAGUUUUAGAUCUUGGAGGAAACAACUUCGUUGGACCUAUACCGUACUCCAUCGGCAAUCUGGCAAAGUUACAGAGGCUCUACCUUUCCAAUAAUCAUUUUGACGGUUGGUAA